This 253-nucleotide ribosomal RNA is filed under the name uncultured bacterium. Its description in RNAcentral is "partial 16S ribosomal RNA". It matches the Rfam family "Bacterial small subunit ribosomal RNA", at positions 524 to 776 of the family's 1533-position model. The record is from RNAcentral.
UACAGAGGUCUCAAGCGUUGUUCGGAUUCAUUGGGCGUAAAGGGUGCGUAGGUGGCGCCGUAAGUCGGGUGUGAAAUUUCGGAGCUUAACUCCGAAACUGCAUUCGAUACUGCGGUGCUUGAGGACUGGAGAGGAGACUGGAAUUCAUGGUGUAGCAGUGAAAUGCGUAGAGAUCAUGAGGAAGACCAGUGGCGAAGGCGGGUCUCUGGGCAUCUCCUGACGCUGAGGCGCGAAAGCGUGGGGAGCAAACGGG